This 5337-nucleotide long non-coding RNA is filed under the name Manihot esculenta (cassava). Its description in RNAcentral is "long non-coding RNA (MESC_LNC003127)". The record is from RNAcentral. Lineage: Eukaryota; Viridiplantae; Streptophyta; Magnoliopsida; Malpighiales; Euphorbiaceae.
UAUAAUUCUUGUUAUAGAUAAGUCAUUGUUAUUAAUUUGGAAAAUAGUUAGAAAACAGAACUUUUAUUAUAAAUAAAAACAUUGGAAACAACUUAGAGCUAUUUUCCAAAUGUUAGCUAAAAUUUAAAAAAUUAGAAAACUAAUUCUUAUGUUCUCCAUUUAGAAAAUCAACACAUGUGAACACAAAACUAUGCUAUUCAGGUCUCUUAGAAAACUUUUCUUGAAAGCUAACUCAGUUUUCUUCAAGUGAACAAGCCCUUAGUUUUAGAUUUUCUUCUCUUCCUAUCUCUCUUUCAUCAUUUUGGAUGAAAAAAAAAUACUGUACAAUAAAUCAAUAAAAAUGACUAUAUCAUAAAUGACUUGAAAUAGCAAAACUAUUAAGGCAUUGUUAAUAUCACUUGCAUUUACAAUUCUAAAUUGUGCGACAAUUCUUUAUUCUCAUGCACAUUUGUGUGGCUGGUAGAAUUCUUUUUUAGCUAAACCAUUAAUAAUAGUGUGAGUUCUCUUUAUUAAAAAGGAAGAUUUUGAACUUUUCAUCACAUCAUUGAACACCAAAUUGCAUUUUGGUGUUCUAAAUAAGUAGCAAAGAUGAUGUAAAAUUGUAGGAUAUAAAAUAUUACUUUAGUUACUAAUAUAAAUAUAAUAGUUCAAACUUUAUCGUCAACCAAAAUUAUUUUCCAUAGUUAUCCGCUACUAUUUGCGUUGAAAUAGCCUCAUAUCAAACCUUAUUGAGGAAUACGUUAAUACUCUAUUCUUUUUGUGAUUACUCGAGUCAUGACAACUUAUGUCUUCCACCAAGAGAGUUUUUGCUGCAUGUUAUUAUACAAUAAAAUGGUUUAAGUAUAACAUUAGAGUAAUGCAUGAACAAUGGUACUUUACUCAUGCACAUGCACGUUUAUUGACAAAGUUUCAAGUUGCUGGUUUUUUAGUCAUGCUUGUACGUUAGUGUAUAAUCACUCUUAGUAUAUCUUAAUAAUGGCUUGAGUGGAGAAAUUUAUAACAGUUCAGGGGAAAAGAAAACAAAAGAAGUAUAACACAAGGAGUCAUGUGUUGAAUGACGCUGAAACUCAAUAUCAUUUUUGAGAUUACACUCCUGGAUAUAAUUCAAGAAAUUGAUGGACAACUAGAAAAUAUUACUACAGUUUUAAUAGAGAAUGAUAUCUGCUAAUCAGUAAACCUUUUAACAGGGGAUUCUUUUGAAAAGAAUGCAUGAUUACUUUUGAUGUCUUGAAUCCUAGAAAAGACCCAACGGAAACAAUCCUCUAACUUCUUAAAAUUAAUGAGAUUCUUGUACAGUGAUUCUAGUGUCAGCAAACACACACCAGCGCAAAACAAAAGGAAAAUAAUAUCUUAGAUUAAUUCACCAUUUAUUAAUUGGUACAUAAGACUAAUAUAGUAUAGGUAUUUCAUAUUAUACGUGUAGUCCUCUUUUAUACGUACAAAAUAUUUACUUUAUUCCCCUGAACCUCCCCCUUUUCAUAAAGGUUUAAAUAAUAGCAAUAACUUUGAGAGAGGAAAAUUUACAAUGGAAGAAUAUGGGCUAUUGGAGACAAAGGCUUAAGGGUUUAAGUUCAAAUAAACCGUUAUAUUGUUAAAUAAAUAUUAAAAAAUUAUUAAUAAUAAUACUUUUUAUAAUUAAUGCUUCGUGUAUUUUAUAAAUAAUUUCUAAAAUAUAUUUAGCUAAAUUUUACUUUGUGAAUAUUAUUUUAUUUUAAUUAAAAUUUUAAAUAAUAAUAUUUAAUUAUUAUAAUAAGUUUAAUGGAAAUCAAAUGUAAAUAUGUUGUAUAUUUUUGUCCUUGUUAGAUAGCUUGAUUCUAGGGCUUAAUUUUGAGUUUGCUGGAAAUGUGUAAAGAAGGAAAAACUAGAAAAGAGAAUAAUAAAGACACCUAGUGGUGGGAUAGAGAACACUCACCUCCACAACAAGAGUACCGACUUUAAUACCAUGAAGGAUGUUAGAAUUUAGAUAAUUCUUAUUUGGUUGUGUGUUAUAGUGAGGAAAUACAAGGUAUUUAUACAUGCUUGUAGCCUAAAUUAGGAAACUACACUAACUACUCAAUCACAGUAAUUUAUAGAAAUUAAGCUAAUCAAAUCAGACAAAUCAUCCUGUAAUCUUGCUCUAGGCAACAUUCUUUUAAUCUAUUUUUUCAAAAUUUUUCAAUAUCACGUAGAAUAUUUGGUCGAGAUUUGAAGAAAAAUGCAAUGGAUUAAGAAAUUUUCAGCCAAGGUUAACUCUUUCGUUUUCGUCUUGCCUUAGGUAACCAAGCAGCUCCUUCCUAUUUAGUUAAACUUGUGCUGAUGCCUUUACUUUUGAUACUAUUAUGAUUCCCCUAAAUUCUCGCUUGAAGGUGGAGAUGGGGGUUGUUACAUAUCCAGCCUGCAGUGCCAUUUGAAACAGAGAAAUAGGGAGAGGAAAGGAGAGGAAUAGAUUAGAUUGAGAAAAGAAACAGAAAGGGGAGGAGGUUUAGAGAGAAAAUAGAGAUGGAGAGAUUUUUUAUAUUUGAUUCUUAAAUGAAUCUUCCUUGAUACAAUAUGUAUUCCUGUAAAGAAAUAACUAUUCCUGCCACUAUCUAACUAAUUCCCUACUAACUUCUAUACUCUUCUUUUAUUACAAUUUCAGCCCCAAAGUCCCUUAUUUAUUUGCAACAUCAUCAUUCUCCUUGUCAUAACAUUCCCCACUUCUUGAAAUCAUUACGUUCAGCACACAUUACUAUUAGGAACUGUAAUGAAAUUCAAUGUUCAAAACUACUAUACUGAAACUGGCCUUCCUUUCUUCAUAUUUGCCUUUCUUUCUUUGCCAUUUCCAACUUCCAAACAUAUCUUCUUUCAGAAUUACAUGCAACUCCUGUCAAGAUUACUUUAUGCUUCUUCCUUCUUAAUAUCUCCCAUUUAUCCAUCAUGGAGAUUAGGAAUUCACAAUAAUAGAACUCAACGUCAUGGUCUUCAAAAUAUUGCCACUUACUUGCAACAUUCCCUGUUUCUUCAAUUGCUUUAGCUUUUUCUUCAUGAGAAACCUUCUCAUGAAUCUCAACAAUGGAAGCAUCCCAUUCCCUAUUAACUUGUACAAAUCCAAAUUUUUUUAAUGGCACCACCAGCGCUUUUGCUAAAAUUUCAAUAUAGCCAAGAUUAAGAAUAAUACCUUGGGCUCCUGGAUUUGAAGGUUGCACUAUGUUGUUGAAGUCUUUCAUUUCCCCAUCAAUAACAAGAAACUUACUAGCCCCCAAUUUUUGUUCUAAGCCAUCAAUUUUACUCUCUUGAAUUGGUAAGCCCGCCUCACCUCCAUCGCUCCAAAAAGUCCCAAUUUUAUGGACUUUGUGGUGUGCAACUAAAUCAGUAGUAACCCUAGAGCAAUCAUGUUCCUUGCCCUCGUUGUAAACCCUUCACCAUGCACUUUGCUGGAGGCUUCAUCGUUUGAAACGCCUUCAUCUUUCUUUUUUUCAAGAACAUUUCCAAGAGUUUGGGAAUGAGUAGCAAAACAUUAAACUUUGGGAAUGAGUAGUGCAAAAACUUCAGAUCCAACUAAUAUUGUCCUCAUUUCAGACCCUAGUUGCCCAUCAUCACCAUCUUCAUCAUUUUCCUCCUGAUAGACAUCACUUAUAUUGGACAUAUCAACAAAAAACUCCUGCUCAUCAACAGAAUUUGCCUCCUGCAUAAUCUCAGUGUUAACAUUCUCCUCUCCAUCACCAAUAAUGUCAACAUCUUCCGCCUCUCGAUCACCAACAAUAUCACCAUCUUCCUCUUCUCCAUCACCAACAAUAUUAUCAUCUUCUUCUUCUCUAUCACCAAUCGAACUCUUCCUUUUUUCCCAUCAUCAAACAACUGAGUUUCACCCUUAACACCAAAUUGCCUUAUUUCUCCUUGCAAUCCCAUUUCCUAGCCAUUAUUCCAAGGAUUCUCAGAUUCUUGGUCUUGGAUAUGGACAUUCAAUUCGGAUUCAGACCCCUGGAGUUCUGUUUUCACUUGAAUCGACUUCUCAAAAUUUUCCAUUUUCUUUUCCCAAUCUUUCUAAAAUUUCAAGCAUACCCAGAAGAAUCUCGUCUAAUUCCAUUUCUGCUGUUGGUAUUUUCACAAAAAGCAAAGAAAUUGAAGGAGGAAACUAGAGGAUAAAUAGUCUCAAGAGCAAGAAAGAACAGAAGAAGGAAAAAGAUUCAAGAAGAUCAAGAAUAGAGAAGAAUUUCAAGAAAGAAAGCAGGAAGUGGAGGACGAAAGAGGGGUUUCCAAAAUUGAAGAAAGUAACCCUAACUUCAGUGUCCUUCGGAAAGAAGAAAUUAGGAAAGGAGGAAGCGGAUUACCAGAAGAAAGGAAGAAGAGCAGAAACAGGGUUCUGCUAAGAAGAAGAAGAAACAGAGAAAUAACAGUAGGAAAGAGAUGGAAGAAAUUUCUGUUUAAGAAAGGUAGAAAAUUCUGGAAAACAAAGAAGGAAGGAAUAGAGAAAGAAGGAGAAGAAUUCUCAGGGGAAGAAGAAGAAAGAUUCUGUCAAGAAGAAAGAGAGAGAAAGAAAUUUGAGGAGGAAGAAAGAAGAAUUAGAGGAAAGAAGGCAGAAUAGAAGAAGAAAGACAGCAGGAGAAACCCAUAACUUGGAGGACUGCUACUGAUCUGCGCCUGAUUGCAGCUCCCAGAAAUUUAUUUGGAAGCAAAGCCCAUCCUCGACAAAGCUGAUACCAAUUGUUACAUAUCAAGCCUGCAAUGCCAUUUGAAACAGAGAAAUAGGGAGAGGAAAGGAGAAGAAUAGAUUGGAUUGAGAAAAGAAACAGAAAGGGGAGGAGGUUUAGAGAGAAAAUAGAGAAGAGAUAUUUCUUAUAUUUGAUUCUUGAAUGAAUCUUCCUUGAUACAAGCUACCCUAUUUAUAUGUAUCAUGGUAAAGAAAUAACUAUUCCUACCACUAUCUAACUAAUUCCCUACUAACUUCUAUACUCCUCUUUUAUUACAAUUUCAGCCCCAAAGUCCCUUAUUCAUUUGCGACAUCCAUCGUUCUCCUUAUCAUAACAGUGGGUCAAUGAGCCAUGUUUUGUGAUUGAUUCCAGAGUAAUUGACAAAACCUUCAGAAAAGGAACAAUUAUUGCUAUAUUGAGUACAAGGUGCCUACUUGGCUUACAUUGGCUUAGAAUCCAUAUGCAAGGUGUUGAAUCAGUGGAAACUAGUGAACAAUGUGGAGGAUUCUGAGAAAGUAGUGGUAUAGUGGUGAAUUGGAGAAAUAGAGUAGGUAAGAGACAUAGAAAAGUUGACCAGUAACAAACUUAAUAGACUGAUUGAGCAGUUUGGUGGAAGAGAAGAAAUCAUGCUAGGGCCAAUUUGGCCUGACCUUGAUCUACCAAAGCAUCAUCACCUAGCUAAGAAAAC